Molecule: ribosomal RNA, 497 nt
Filed under: uncultured bacterium
Lineage: Bacteria
Description: partial 16S ribosomal RNA
Rfam family: Bacterial small subunit ribosomal RNA
Source: RNAcentral
GAUGAACGCUGGCGGCGUGCCUAAUACAUGCAAGUCGAGCGAACGGACGAGAAGCUUGCUUUUCUGAUGUUAGCGGCGGACGGGUGAGUAACACGUGGAUAACCUACCUAUAAGACUGGGAUAACUUCGGGAAACCGGAGCUAAUACCGGAUAAUAUUUUGAACCGCAUGGUUCAAAAGUGAAAGACGGUCUUUCUGUCACUUAUAGAUGGAUCCGCGCUGCAUUAGCUAGUUGGUAAGGUAACAGCUUACCAAGGCAACGAUGCAUAGCCGACCUGAGAGGGUGAUCGGCCACACUGGAACUGAGACACGGUCCAGACUCCUACGGGAGGCAGCAGUAGGGAAUCUUCCGCAAUGGGCGAAAGCCUGACGGAGCAACGCCGCGUGAGAGAUGAAGGUCUUCGGAUCGUAAAACUCUGUUAUUAGGGAAGAACAUAUGUGUAAGUAACUGUGCACAUCUUGACGGUACCUAAUAAGAAAGCCACGGCUAACUACGUG